UAACAGGAAGUGCCGAAAGAUUAUAGAGAUGUAAUAUUCAUUGUUUCAUUCGCCGUAGUAACAAGAGAGAAUCUUGAGGAAGGAUUAAACAAAGAAACAGCUGGAUGUUAUUUUAGAAGUAGCACAGUAGCAGCUAAAAGAUUUGGGAGAUGGAAAGUUCUCAAUUAACAAGUUCAAGAGAAUACAGUGACAUGAUCAAUCGCGACUCAUAAACAUCCUUAAUUUAUAUUCAAGGCUGAGGUCGUUGGGACCGUUAUGUUGGUGUUUUGGAUGUCGCGAAACUUGCUAUUAGCGAGAUCCAGGUACUUCCUACCAGACCAGAUAUCAGUGAGCUAGUUCGUACGUGGAGACUUUAAGAUACUAUUGCUGAGGACGAGACUAGUGGUUGAAGAGUACGUGAGUUGAUUCAGUUAUUAAGGUGAGCCGCCACAUUGUCCCGGAUGCUGUAAUCUCUUUUGUAAUUCUCU
This is a long non-coding RNA of Nicotiana attenuata, 467 nucleotides long. RefSeq lists it as uncharacterized. The transcript has 3 exons. NCBI's taxonomy places the organism in Eukaryota, Viridiplantae, Streptophyta, Magnoliopsida, Solanales, Solanaceae. The record is from RefSeq and is a predicted model, not a curated record.